Molecule: ribosomal RNA, 301 nt
Filed under: uncultured bacterium
Lineage: Bacteria
Description: partial 16S ribosomal RNA
Rfam family: Bacterial small subunit ribosomal RNA
Source: RNAcentral
CAGUAGCCGCGGGAAUACGAAGGGGGCUAGCGUUGCUCGGAAUGACUGGGCGUAAAGGGCGCGUAGGCGGCGGCCAAAGUCAGGCGUGAAAUUCCUGGGCUCAACCUGGGGGCUGCGCUUGAUACUUGGUUGCUUGAGUGGGGAAGAGGGUCGUGGAAUUCCCAGUGUAGAGGUGAAAUUCGUAGAUAUUGGGAAGAACACCGGUGGCGAAGGCGGCGACCUGGUCCUUGACUGACGCUGAGGCGCGAAGGCGUGGGGAGCAAACAGGAUUAGAUACCCCUGUAGUCCCUGUCUCUUAUAA